This is a long non-coding RNA of Asparagus officinalis (garden asparagus), 829 nucleotides long. RefSeq lists it as uncharacterized. Lineage: Eukaryota; Viridiplantae; Streptophyta; Magnoliopsida; Asparagales; Asparagaceae. The transcript is spliced from 4 exons. The record is from RefSeq and is a predicted model, not a curated record.
CCCGGGCCAAACCCUCUCUCUCUCUCCACAAAUCCCCAAAUCUCUCUCUCUCUCCAAACCCCCAAAUCCCCCUCAUCCCCCUCCACCUGCACCUCCACCUGCUUGAAAAUUCCCCUCGUUCUUCCCUAUCAAAAACCCUAACCCUACCUCUCUUCUUGGUUCCCAACUCCGAUCCAUGGCGCAUCGAUCUCUCCCCCCUCCUCAAAACCCUCCUCCGAUCCCGCCUAACCCCCUCCCGCUCCGUCACCUACAUGCCCCGCCCCGGCGACGGCGCCCCUCACCCCGUGACCAUAAUCCCCGAUGCCUCGUUCUUCUUCCUCUGAAUCUCUUGUAGAGAGAGAGAGAGAGAGAGAGAGAGAGAGAGAGAGAGCGAUUCAAAAAUGGUUUAGAGGUUGACCUAUCGCAAGAGGCACAGCUAUGCCACGAAAUCGAACCCGACCCGCGUCGUCAAAACCCCUGGUGGGAAACUUACCUACCAGACAGCCAAGAAGAGGGCGAAAGGACCGAGGUGCCAUGUGACUGGAAAGAGAAUCCAAGGGGUGGGAUAACGACAUUGAUUGAUAUGCCCCUCAACAGAUAUCUGUCCACAAUGUCUGUAGAACACUAAAACUCAAGAGUCUGGUCAGUGAAGUUUGCAUUGUGAAAAGCGCUACAUCUCUGAUGCUUCCAUGUGAGAAAAAAGGUCUUGCUGAAGUGAUGCAUAAUGAAGCUCUUGCUAAAUAGAAAAUUACUUCUUAUCUAUGUAAACAAUUUAUGUAUCACACUAGUAUUUUGGUGAAUGUAUUAUUGAAUAUAAUUGUAUUUGAUAUUGAAAUAUAAUUAGAUUGUG